UUGGAGGGCAAGUCUGGUGCCAGCAGCCGCGGUAAUUCCAGCUCCAAUAGCGUAUAUUAAAGUUGUUGCAGUUAAAAAGCUCGUAGUUGAAUUUCGGGAUUAGUACGUUGGUCGUGCCUUAGGUACGUACUGGUGUUACUGGUUCCUACCUUCUGACGAACCAUCAUGUCAUUAAUUUGGUGUGGUGGGGAAUCAGGACUGUUACUUUGAAAAAAUUAGAGUGUUUAAAGCAGGCUCGCGCUUGAAUACAUUAGCAUGGAAUAAUGAAAUAGGACG
Molecule: ribosomal RNA, 276 nt
Filed under: uncultured Glomus
Lineage: Eukaryota; Fungi; Glomeromycota; Glomeromycetes; Glomerales; Glomeraceae
Description: partial 18S ribosomal RNA
Rfam family: Eukaryotic small subunit ribosomal RNA
Source: RNAcentral